AAACAUUAGUAAGGUUCUGUUUUCCUCUUCUCACUCAAAAUGAGAAAUUCUUGUCUAGUUGGGAAGAGGAGUGCUAUUCUUCUUUUGAUUG
RNAcentral lists this transfer RNA (91 nucleotides) under Clostridium perfringens. Its description in RNAcentral is "tRNA-Leu(caa)". The record is from RNAcentral. Lineage: Bacteria; Bacillati; Bacillota; Clostridia; Eubacteriales; Clostridiaceae.